ACGAACGCUGGCGGCAUGCCUAACACAUGCAAGUCGAACGAGACCUUCGGGUCUAGUGGCGCACGGGUGCGUAACGCGUGGGAACCUGCCCUUAGGUUCGGAAUAACUCCCCGAAAGGGGUGCUAAUACCGGAUAAUGUCUUCGGACCAAAGAUUUAUCGCCUUUGGAUGGGCCCGCGUUGGAUUAGCUAGUUGGUAGGGUAAAAGCCUACCAAGGCGACGAUCCAUAGCUGGUCUGAGAGGAUGAUCAGCCACACUGGGACUGAGACACGGCCCAGACUCCUACGGAAGGCAGCGGUGGGGAAAAUUGGACAAUGGGCGAAGGCCUAAUCCAGCAAUGCCGCGUGAGUGAUGAAGGCCUUAGGGUUGUAAGCUCUUUUACCCGGGAUGAUAAUGACAGUACCGGGAGAAUAAGCUCCGGCUAACUCCGUG
RNAcentral lists this ribosomal RNA (431 nucleotides) under uncultured bacterium. RNAcentral's name for it is "partial 16S ribosomal RNA". It matches the Rfam family "Bacterial small subunit ribosomal RNA", at positions 29 to 507 of the family's 1533-position model. The record is from RNAcentral.